CAGUCCAUCCUAAUCCCUGCUGGUCACGCCCGUACCUGCAAGGCUUCGCUGGUGGACCAGAGUACCCCAGAAACCCUCGUGGAGCGCUGGUGCCCGGCGUGGGCUCCCAGCUGCCAGGGGGCUCUGAACACAA
RNAcentral lists this small nucleolar RNA (133 nucleotides) under Notamacropus eugenii (tammar wallaby). Lineage: Eukaryota; Metazoa; Chordata; Mammalia; Diprotodontia; Macropodidae. The record is from RNAcentral.